RNAcentral lists this ribosomal RNA (432 nucleotides) under uncultured bacterium. RNAcentral's name for it is "bacterial SSU rRNA". It matches the Rfam family "Bacterial small subunit ribosomal RNA", at positions 355 to 787 of the family's 1533-position model. The record is from RNAcentral.
UGAGGAAUAUUGGUCAAUGGGCGGGAGCCUGAACCAGCCAAGCCGCGUGAGGGAAGAAGGCCCUAUGGGUCGUAAACCUCUUUGUCAGGGAACAAAAGCGAGUAUGUAUACUAGUCUGAGUGUACCUGAAGAAAAAGCAUCGGCUAACUCCGUGCCAGCAGCCGCGGUAAUACGGAGGAUGCGAGCGUUAUCCGGAUUUAUUGGGUUUAAAGGGUGCGUAGGCGGCGGUGCAAGUCAGCGGUAAAAGCCCGGGGCUCAACCCCGGCGAGCCGUUGAAACUGCAGUGCUAGAGAAGGCGAAGAGGUACGCGGAAUGCGCAGUGUAGCGGUGAAAUGCUUAGAUAUUGCGCAGAACUCCGAUUGCGAAAGGCAGCGUACUGGCGCCUGACUGACGCUGAGGCACGAAAGCGUGGGGAUCGAACAGAUAGAUACC